GCGUGAGUGAUGAAGGUUUUCGGAUCGUAAAACUCUGUUGUUAGGGAAGAACAAGUACCGUUCGAAUAGGGCGGUACCUUGACGGUACCUAACCAGAAAGCCACGGCUAACUACGUGCCAGCAGCCGCGGUAAUACGUAGGUGGCAAGCGUUGUCCGGAAUUAUUGGGCGUAAAGCGCGCGCAGGCGGUCUUUUAAGUCUGAUGUGAAAGCCCCCGGCUCAACCGGGGAGGGUCAUUGGAAACUGGGAGACUUGAGUGCAGAAGAGGAGAGUGGAAUUCCACGUGUAGCGGUGAAAUGCGUAGAGAUGUGGAGGAACACCAGUGGCGAAGGCGACUCUCUGGUCUGUAACUGACGCUGAGGCGCGAAAGCGUGGGGAGCGAACAGGAUUAGAUACCCUGGUAGUCCACGCCGUAAACGAUGAGUGCUAAGUGUUAGAGGGUUUCCGCCCUUUAGUGCUGCAGCAAACGCAUUANGCACUCCGCCUGGGGAGUACGGCCNCAAGGCUGAAACUCAAAGGAAUUGACGGGGGCCCCCCACAAGCGGUGGAGCAUGUGGUUUANUUCGAAGCACCGCGAAGAACCUUACCAGGUCUUGAAAUCCUCUGACAAUC
This 611-nucleotide ribosomal RNA is filed under the name Bacillus licheniformis. RNAcentral's name for it is "bacterial SSU rRNA". It matches the Rfam family "Bacterial small subunit ribosomal RNA", at positions 399 to 999 of the family's 1533-position model. Lineage: Bacteria; Bacillati; Bacillota; Bacilli; Caryophanales; Bacillaceae. The record is from RNAcentral.